Long non-coding RNA from Papaver somniferum (opium poppy), 964 nucleotides. RefSeq lists it as uncharacterized. The record is from RefSeq and is a predicted model, not a curated record. Lineage: Eukaryota; Viridiplantae; Streptophyta; Magnoliopsida; Ranunculales; Papaveraceae. The transcript is spliced from 8 exons.
UUCAGAAAACCAACCCUUUAUUCGUUUCUCACAUGUUUCAUUAAAUCAGUUCAUGAGAUCGAGAUAAUAACGCAUCCAAAAAGAUGAAGUUGAAAAGGGGGUUUCUUAUAUUCUCCAAGCAUCGGAAGCAUUUUGGGAAAAUCUGAUUUUUUUGGUCACUGAUUCUUAAUUUUGUUUAAAUGAAUCCCAAGAAUCGGAAGCUUGUUGAUUGAUUGGAAAUAUGCAGCAGUAACCAACAUAAACCUCUACAACAACAACAAUGGCUUCUUCUCUUUCUUUCAACCCCAAAUCAAAAUUAGGGUUUUCUGCUUCUUCUUCAUCUACUGAAAUUGAAGGUCUUAACAUUGCUGAAGAUGGUUCCCAGGAGGCAUCUCUGCGCUGCAACUCAGAGAAGUUGGAUGUGUUGCGCUUGCAAGAAACCGAACUUCAGGCAGGUACAAUAUGGAUCACAUUUAUGGACCCCAUGAUCAAAAUGCGUUGCUUGUUUUAAUGGUUAUGAUGGUUAUGCCAGUAAAAUUGCAAUGUGUUGCUAAGCACGAGUGAAGAGUUGAAGGGCGCGUACAUAUCCAAGGAUGGGACUUGGUUCUUGAUUUCUGGGAUGCCCUUCACGCAGCUGAAAGCAAUUUGAGUUAUAUGCUCACGUAUUUUCUGAGGAAAAGAGAAUUUUGAAGGAUGCCAGAGCCAGGCAACUCAUGCAUGCUGCAGAAGUUGCGACGUUGGAGAAAGUUAUAUAGCUAAAGCAAAACUUGCCGCUUCUAUUGCUAAUGAGAAAGCAUCACAGAUUGAAAAGAUGGCAUUGGGUAAUCUUAGUAGGUCUUUUAUUAUAGAUCAAUGCCUUAUGCAUGGCUUUCUUGGCACGAUCUGAAGAGUCUCGACCGAGUCACUCUGUAUACAAGCUGUCUCUGUCUUCCAGAAGAAAUGUUAAGGCAUGGUACAGACACGCAAAUUUCAAUUGAAUCAGAAG